UAAUAAGUGUUUUAUGGCACUUUUUAAAUCCAUAUCCACCUUGUGUGCAAUGUCAGUCGAUCUUUUUAUGGAGGAUCGACCAAACAUCAACCUUUAUCUUUUAACUCUUUGUCUGAAAAAUAUUAUGAAUAAACAAUUCAAAAUA
RNAcentral lists this unclassified non-coding RNA (145 nucleotides) under soil metagenome. Its description in RNAcentral is "partial internal transcribed spacer 1". The record is from RNAcentral.